GGGCAGGUACCCAAGCGGCCAAAGGGGACUGACUGUAAAUCAGUUGGCAACGCCUUCGGAGGUUCGAAUCCUUCCCUGCCCA
This 82-nucleotide transfer RNA is filed under the name Chloroflexota bacterium. RNAcentral describes it as "Chloroflexi bacterium (anaerobic digester metagenome) tRNA-Tyr". It matches the Rfam family "tRNA". From Rfam's summary of the family: Transfer RNA (tRNA) molecules are approximately 80 nucleotides in length. RNAcentral also lists the same sequence under 1 other name. Lineage: Bacteria; Bacillati; Chloroflexota. The record is from RNAcentral.